AUCAGUUCAGGCCCGUCGCGUUAAUUAAUUAGGCAAGGGCGAUCGUUUUCGUCCACGUACGGGGAGUUGAUCGUGGAAACAGGAGAGCGAACGUAUGGCGACGGCGGCGGCGACGACGACUGCGACCGGGGUAUUGCGUCGGGUGCUCCUGCCGACGAUCAGGCGCCGACUCGCCACCAGCACCGCAGGGCAGCCGGUCGUGUCCUUCACCGGCGCCCGCGCCGGCACCACCGAGGUUGGCAUGCGUCCGUCAUCGCAUACACUUCAGAGUUCAGACAUCAAUCAACUAUAUAUAGAUUAACUAGUGCGUUUCUUUCUUACUAAAUCCAUGGGAAUUUCAAUAAUCUCGCAGGCUCAUCAGGCGGAGGUCGCUGCGCGUCGACAACUCAGAAAGUAGGCCUUCCUUCUUCCUUGCGAUGUCAUCGGCCAAGACGAGCUACUAGAAACUCUCUUGAUCCAUGGCUAACAGUUGAAGGCUAUUUUUCCUUUCCUUGUGCAGGCAAAAGAUGCGGGAAGAUGAACGGAGCGGCAUGGUUCAUGAGGUCAUGGCGUGGGCGAUCAUCACGUCGCCCUUGACCAUCUUUUUCUUCCGGGACCUCUUCCGAAGCCCCAAGCGACCGUAAACCUCAAGAUUGCUGCCAUCCAAGUGGCUCCACCAGCCCAAAUCAUAGUGCAUGCAUUGCCCUUUUUUGUCUGGAAAGUGCUAAUAAUGCUGCUUUAUAGUAUUGUAAAGGGAUAAGUAUAUUUUUCGUCCUCGAAUUCUGGCGAUAGUAUAGGAAUCGUCCCUCAACUCCGAAACCGGUAAAACUCAGUCCCUCAACUAUUUAAACCGGAUACUUUUCAUCCCUCGCGGCACUUUAAGUGGUUUUGGUAUGACGUGGACCCGGUUUUGACUAAAACUGUACACGUGGAUUGUUUUGAC
Molecule: long non-coding RNA, 922 nt
Filed under: Hordeum vulgare
Lineage: Eukaryota; Viridiplantae; Streptophyta; Magnoliopsida; Poales; Poaceae
Description: long non-coding RNA (HVUL_LNC014689)
Source: RNAcentral